Molecule: ribosomal RNA, 350 nt
Filed under: uncultured eukaryote
Lineage: Eukaryota
Description: SSU rRNA
Rfam family: Eukaryotic small subunit ribosomal RNA
Source: RNAcentral
AUAGCGUAUAUUGGCGUUGUUGUGGUUAAAAAGCUCGUAGUUGGAUCUCAGUUCGAGUCAGACGGUCCACUUGCCAGUGGUUACUGUUUGGACUGAACACUUUAUCGAGUUGUCCUAUGGUGCUCUUCACCGAGUGUCAUAGGCGAUCGAUACGUUUACUUUGAAAAAAUUAGAGUGCUCAAAGCAGGCUACACAAGCCCGAAUAAUGUUGCAUGGAAUAAUGGAAUAGGACCUCGGUUCUAUUUUGUUGGUCUUCGGAAUCUCUGGUAAUGAUUAAGAGGGACAGACGGGGGCAUUCGUAUUGCGACGCUAGAGGUGAAAUUCUUGGACCGUUGCAAGACGAACAAAAG